GGAGAGGUGGCUGAGUGGUCGAAGGCGCUCGCCUGGAAAGUGAGUUAGCGGGUCAAACUGCUACAAGGGUUCAAAUCCCUUCCUCUCCGCCA
RNAcentral lists this transfer RNA (92 nucleotides) under Synergistaceae bacterium. Its description in RNAcentral is "tRNA-Ser". It matches the Rfam family "tRNA". Rfam says of the family: Transfer RNA (tRNA) molecules are approximately 80 nucleotides in length. Their secondary structure includes four short double-helical elements and three loops (D, anti-codon, and T loops). Lineage: Bacteria; Thermotogati; Synergistota; Synergistia; Synergistales; Synergistaceae. The record is from RNAcentral. RNAcentral also lists the same sequence under 1 other name.